GAUGAACGCUGGCGGCGUGCCUAAUACAUGCAAGUCGAGCGAACAGACGAGGAGCUUGCUCCUCUGACGUUAGCGGCGGACGGGUGAGUAACACGUGGAUAACCUACCUAUAAGACUGGGAUAACUUCGGGAAACCGGAGCUAAUACCGGAUAAUAUAUUGAACCGCAUGGUUCAAUAGUGAAAGACGGUUUUGCUGUCACUUAUAGAUGGAUCCGCGCCGCAUUAGCUAGUUGGUAAGGUAACGGCUUACCAAGGCAACGAUGCGUAGCCGACCUGAGAGGGUGAUCGGCCACACGGGAAGUGAGACACGGUCCAGACUCCUACGGGAGGCAGCAGUAGGGAAUCUUACGCAAUGGGCGAAAGCCUGACGGAGCAACGCGGCGUGAGUGAUGAAGGUCUUCGGAUCGUAAAACUCUGUUAUUAGGGAAGAACAAAUGUGUAAGUAACUAUGCACGUCUUGACGGUACCUAAUCAGAAAGCCACGGCUAACUACGUG
This 497-nucleotide ribosomal RNA is filed under the name uncultured bacterium. Its description in RNAcentral is "partial 16S ribosomal RNA". It matches the Rfam family "Bacterial small subunit ribosomal RNA", at positions 28 to 507 of the family's 1533-position model. The record is from RNAcentral.